This 1127-nucleotide long non-coding RNA is filed under the name Homo sapiens (human). Its description in RNAcentral is "HSALNT0322441". The record is from RNAcentral. Lineage: Eukaryota; Metazoa; Chordata; Mammalia; Primates; Hominidae.
UGGCAUACGGUAGGUAUUGGAUAAAGGUAUUUGGAAUGGAGUAAUGAAUUAUGAGAAGAUCUAAUAGCUAAGAUCAAUUUUUAAUCCACCAAUAUUGAAUUAUAACAGUUAAGUCUUAUAGUCACAAACAAAAUCCAUGAGUGUGUUUUCUUUUUCAGAAACUGUUCAUUUUCCAUGCUGCUAUCUUACACCACUUUAUAUACAUCAUAAUUAUGAAGAUACACCCCCAAGGGUUUUGUUCUGAAAUUAUUCAACCCCCAACUCCAAAUGCCCUAGCAGUAUGUUAUGGAGGUUCAUCUGUGAGUAUUUUCAGAUUGUCACAUCUACAAUCACAUCUCAGUUAAUUAAGAGGAGCGAGUUGCAGGGAAAAGGUCAUAGUAGAUGAUGAUACCUGCCUGUCUGACCUUUGAGGAAGGGGAAUUUCUGAAACCUAAGGCUUCCUUGUAUUGCUCAAUUCAGUGAGAAAGAAAUCACUAAUGAUAGCAGGGUUUUGCUCUGUCGCCCCCGCUGGAGCGCAGUGGCACAAACAGAGUACAUUGCUGUCUAUCUUCUGGACUCAAGUGAUCUUCCCUCCUCAGCCUUCUGAGUAGCUGGGACUACAGAUGCAGAUAGAAAUAUUAGUUUUAUGAGAAACUAUUUCUUAAAGGAUGAAACAUUCCACAAAAUAUAUUUUAUCACAGACUAUGGGUGGAUUCCACUGGGAGAAAAGAGGAUCUAAAUGCCAGGCUCACCCCUCACAUUCUAUUCAACUGCACAGGAUAGAAUGAUACAUCCCUCUCUCACAAGAGCUCCCUGGAAACUGCAGAGGAAUCACCAUCUUCAGCAAGCUUUAUCAAGAAUGCAUUCAUGAGAUUCCCACUUUAAACAUCCAGCCAAGCACUUUUAUGUCUGUCACAGAGGCUUUAAAGGAGAGGCUGGAGAGUUCUCAUUUUCAGCACCAUCUCAGCUGUCGGUAUUUCCCAAACCUGCACUGAUGUCUGAGAAUCCACAUCAAAACUUUUGCAUUUGUCCUCAAAGAAUGUCACAACUAUUAUUCUGAAAUGCUCAUUGCAUCUAUUUCUAGGGAUGGUAAUGAUGACUCUGUACGGACUAAGAUAGGAUUAAUAACAAUGCAGAGUUGAACUCAA